UUUUUUUAAAAAAUAUUUUUUCUAUUUAAUAUAUUUAAUUAAAUUUAAAAAUUUACUGUAAAGGAUUAUAAAAUUUUUUAAAAGAAAUUCAAUGUUCCUUUAGUAUCAGGAAUUUUUUAAUUUUAUUAUUUAAUUAAAUUUCCUGAAAGGAAAUCAACUAUAAAUUUACUAAAAUGAUAUUACAUAAUCAAAAUAAUAAAUUUAUUGAAAUCAAACGUUAUUCGAAUUUCCUAAUAUCCGGUUUUUUGAAAAAUUAAUUUAUAUUUAAUUUUAUAUAGAUAAAUAUAUAAAAAAAUUUUACAAACAUUUAAAUUUUUAAAGGAAUAACAGUAUCCAUAAAGUUUUAAAACUAAUAAAAAUAAAAAUUAAAAUUUUAUUAUCAAAAUAUCAUUUCCUAAAAAUAUUAAUAAAAAUAUCAGUAGAAUAUAAAUAUAACUUUUAAUAUAAAAUUUCAUAAUUUUUUUUUAUUUUUAAAUUAAUAACUAAGCAAUAAAUUAAAUGACUGUUUACCAAAAACAUUUCUAAUAUAAUUAUAUAUAUUAUUAGUAAUACCUGCUCAAUGUUAAAAUCAAUAGCCGCAGGAAUUUUACUGUGCUAAGGUAGCAUAAUCACUAGCCUUUUAAUUGAAGGCUUGUAUGAAAGGUACAACAUUUUAAUUUCUUUUUUAUUUAAAUUUUUCAAAACUAUAUUAAACAUAAAAAUAUGUUUAUAUAUUAAAUAGACGACAAGACCCUAUUGAACUUUACUGUAGUUUAGCUGGGGCAGCUAUUUAAUUAAUAUUUUAAUAUACUAAUAUAUAUAUAUUUAUAUAAUUAAUGACCCAAUAUUAUUUGAUUGUAUGAAUUAAGUUACCAUAGGGAUAACAGCGUAAUUUUUUUUUAAAGCUCAUAUUAAAAAAAAAGAUUGCGACCUCGAUGUUGAAUUAUUGUUACAAAUUAUACGCAAUAGUAUAUAUUGUAGGUCUGUUCGACCUUUAAAACAUUACAUGAUUUGAGUUCAAAUCGGCGUAAGCCAGAUUGGUUUCUAUCUUUUACAAAAUUUAUUUAGUACGAAAGGACCAAUAAAU
RNAcentral lists this ribosomal RNA (1066 nucleotides) under Trichonephila clavipes. RNAcentral describes it as "16S ribosomal RNA". The stretch from base 715 to 1033 matches the Rfam family "Archaeal large subunit ribosomal RNA", at positions 2153 to 2718 of the family's 2987-position model. The record is from RNAcentral. Lineage: Eukaryota; Metazoa; Arthropoda; Arachnida; Araneae; Nephilidae.